Molecule: ribosomal RNA, 508 nt
Filed under: uncultured Desulfobulbus sp.
Lineage: Bacteria; Pseudomonadati; Thermodesulfobacteriota; Desulfobulbia; Desulfobulbales; Desulfobulbaceae
Description: bacterial SSU rRNA
Rfam family: Bacterial small subunit ribosomal RNA
Source: RNAcentral
CGCCACGCCCGCUCAAGAACUACGAAAGGAAUUGGACGGGGCCCGCACAAGCGGUGGAGUAUGUGGUUUAAUCGAUGCAACGCGAAGAACCUUACCUGGUCUUGACAUCCCGGAGACCCUUAGGAAACUAGGGGGUGCUUCCAUCUGGAAGAAUCUGGAGACAGGUGCUGCAUGGCUGUCGUCAGCUCGUGUCGUGAGAUGUUGGGUUAAGUCCCGCAACGAGCGCAACCCUUGCCUUUAGUUGCCAGCAGUUCGGCUGGGCACUCUAAAGGGACUGCCGGUGUUAAACCGGAGGAAGGUGGGGAUGACGUCAAGUCCUCAUGGCCUUUAUGACCAGGGCUACACACGUACUACAAUGGCCGAUACAAAGGGCAGCGACACUGCGAGGUGAAGCCAAUCCCGUAAAAUCGGUCUCAGUCCGGAUUGGAGUCUGCAACUCGACUCCAUGAAGUUGGAAUCGCUAGUAAUCGUGGAUCAGCAUGCCACGGUGAAUACGUUCCCGGGCCUU